AAUCAACGCUGGCGGCGUGCCUCAGACAUGCAAGUCGAACGAUUAAAAGCUCUCUUCGGAGAGUGUAUAGAGUGGCGCACGGGUGAGUAACACGUAAGUAAUCUACCCUCGAGUGGGGAAUAACAACCGGAAACGGUUGCUAAUACCGCAUAAUGCAGCGGCACCGCAAGGUGACAGUUGUUAAAGAUUUAUCGCUUGAGGAGGAGCUUGCGGCAGAUUAGCUAGUUGGUAGGGUAACGGCUUACCAAGGCUACGAUCUGUAACCGGUCUAAGAGGACGGUCGGUCACACUGACACUGAAUAACGGGUCAGACUCCUACGGGAGGCAGCAGUCGGGAAUUUUGGGCAAUGGGCGAAAGCCUGACCCAGCAACGCCGCGUGAAGGAUGAAGUAUUUCGGUAUGUAAACUUCGAAAGAAUAGGAAGAAUUAAUGACGGUACUAUUUAUAAGGUCCGGCUAACUACGUG
Molecule: ribosomal RNA, 466 nt
Filed under: uncultured bacterium
Lineage: Bacteria
Description: bacterial SSU rRNA
Rfam family: Bacterial small subunit ribosomal RNA
Source: RNAcentral